AGUGAACGCUGGCGGUAGGCCUAACACAUGCAAGUCGAACGGCAGCACAGUAAGAGCUUGCUCUUACGGGUGGCGAGUGGCGGACGGGUGAGGAAUACAUCGGAAUCUACUUUUUCGUGGGGGAUAACGUAGGGAAACUUACGCUAAUACCGCAUACGACCUACGGGUGAAAGCAGGGGAUCUUCGGACCUUGCGCGAUUGAAUGAGCCGAUGUCGGAUUAGCUAGUUGGCGGGGUAAAGGCCCACCAAGGCGACGAUCCGUAGCUGGUCUGAGAGGAUGAGCAGGCAGGCAGGGAGGAAUAUACGGUGAAGGGCGCAAGGGGGGGCAAGAGAGGGGGGUAUUGGACAAAGGGCGCAAGGGUGAUACAGCCAUACUGCGGGGAUGAAAAAGGCCUUCGGGAAGUAAAGGCCGUUUGAAGGGAAACAAAAGCAGAAGGCUAGGACACCGCUGUGCUAGCGGUACCCUAAGAAUAAGCACCGGCUCACGUCC
This 490-nucleotide ribosomal RNA is filed under the name uncultured bacterium. RNAcentral describes it as "partial 16S ribosomal RNA". It matches the Rfam family "Bacterial small subunit ribosomal RNA", at positions 30 to 505 of the family's 1533-position model. The record is from RNAcentral.